Molecule: non-coding RNA, 171 nt
Filed under: Caloranaerobacter azorensis
Lineage: Bacteria; Bacillati; Bacillota; Tissierellia; Tissierellales; Thermohalobacteraceae
Description: T-box sequence
Rfam family: T-box leader
About the family: Uncharged tRNA acts as the effector for transcription antitermination of genes in the T-box leader family. T-boxes are found upstream of many aminoacyl-tRNA synthetase genes and some amino acid biosynthetic genes usually in Gram-positive bacteria. The anticodon of a specific tRNA base pairs to a specifier sequence within the T-box motif, and the NCCA acceptor tail of the tRNA base pairs to a conserved bulge in the T-box antiterminator hairpin.
Source: RNAcentral
UAGAAAGCUAUGAUGAAGAGGAGUAGUCAAUAGGUAUUAUUUAAGCGAGCUAGGGAUGGUGGGAGCCUAGUAUAAUCCGUUGAUGAAGGGCGCUUCUGAGCAUUCUUUUAAAGAGGAUGCCAAAUGGCAUCAAAUAGGGUGGAACCGCGGAAGGAACCUUUCGUCCCUAUG